UUUAAGUGUUAAUUGAAUUUACCUGGGUAAUAUUAGUUAAGGUCUUUAAACCCAAAGAAUUUGGCGGUAUCUCAUUCCAUUCAGAGGAACCUACCCCGUAAUUGAUAAUACACGAUUAACUUAACUUAAUUUAUUUGCUUGUAUAUCUCCGUUAUCAGAAAAUCUUUUUAGAGUUAUAAUUUUCUUAAUUUAUAAUUAUAAAAUAUUUCAGGUCAAGGUGCAGUUUAUAAUUAAGAGGUGGUGGGUUACAAUAAAUUUUUGUUUACAACGAAUUUUAUAUUGAAAUAUUAUAGAUGAAGGUGGAUUUGAUGGUAAUUUAAUUUAUUUAAUUUAUUUGAUAUUGGCUCUGAGAUGUGC
RNAcentral lists this ribosomal RNA (357 nucleotides) under Arminda brunneri. RNAcentral's name for it is "partial 12S ribosomal RNA". The record is from RNAcentral. Lineage: Eukaryota; Metazoa; Arthropoda; Insecta; Orthoptera; Acrididae.